UCAAGUUCAUGGAUAAUCUGAAGAAUUGUGGUAGUGGGGAGUACUAGAGCAAGUGAACUGCAAGAAUAAAAUUACUGGAUCAGAGAACAGGAUAAACAAUUGACAUCAUAGAUGUGAUAUAAUUUCUGAUAAUAAUGGUUCUAUUGCCUAUAAUGAUAAUGGGAUUAAGUGAUUAUGACAGAGAAGACUUUACAGUGCAACUGCAAAACCAUAAGAAGAAGGGUAGCCAGCAAAAUGAUGACGAGGAAUAGCUCAGAAGAAGUCUUAUAAUUCUGCAUGACGGAAGAAAGAAACAGAUAUCUGGGCACCUUUCUGAACUAUGCCACAACAUAAGCAGCACUCCAUAGCUACAACAACACACUUGUGUGUCUCUUAAAGGGAAGUGUGCCCCUCAUCCUCAUUGUCAGAGAGUCAACAGUGUUUCUCUUCUUUACUGGAGAUCCUGCCCUUUCUCACUGACAGACCCAGGUUCCCCCUCUGAAGUUAAAUAUAACAACAUACGCAAACUCGUCUGCCUAUCUCAUGUUACUGUUGUAUGACGCUUUCUUUAUCUGAAACAA
Molecule: non-coding RNA, 560 nt
Organism: Equus caballus (horse)
Lineage: Eukaryota; Metazoa; Chordata; Mammalia; Perissodactyla; Equidae
Source: RefSeq, a predicted model, not a curated record